UACGUAGGGGGCAAGCGUUGUCCGGAUUUAUUGGGCGUAAAGAGCGUGUAGGCGGCCAGGGAGGUCCGUUGUGAAAACUCGAGGCUCAACCUCGAGACGCCGAUGGAAACCCCCUGGCUAGAGUCCGGAAGAGGAGAGUGGAAUUCCUGGUGUAGCGGUGAAAUGCGCAGAUAUCAGGAAGAACACCCGUGGCUAAGGCAGUGGGCUGGGCCGGCACUGACGCUGAGGAGCGAAAGCGUGGGGAGCGAACAGG
Molecule: ribosomal RNA, 253 nt
Filed under: uncultured bacterium
Lineage: Bacteria
Description: partial 16S ribosomal RNA
Rfam family: Bacterial small subunit ribosomal RNA
Source: RNAcentral